CUAGCCCAGUCACCUUUUUUUCCCUGUCUACACUCUCUGUCCCCCCCCCCUCAUUCCCCGCCCCCCGUGCCCAUCGUGUCCCGGGGCCGCCGCCGCCGCCGCCGCCAGCGCGCGCCAUCUCUGUCCCCUCUCAUUCUCCACGCGGGACGCGCAGACGUGCCUCCACGUGUCCUUAAGCAGAGAUGAAUAAUACUGCAGCUAGCCCGAUGUCUACGGCCACUUCAAGUAGUGGAAGAAACACAGGGAAGGCGAUAAGCUUUGCUGCAGAACUGCAGAGCAUGAUGUUUUCUUUAGGUGAUGCUAGGAGGCCUCUCCAUGAAACAGCAGUUUUAGUAGAGGACGUGGUUCACACACAACUAAUUAACCUGUUACAGCAAGCUGCAGAAGUCUCUCAGCUGCGAGGAGCUAGGGUGAUCUCUGCUGAAGAUCUUCUGUUCUUGAUGAGAAAAGAUAAGAAAAAACUUAGAAGACUUCUGAAAUACAUGUUUAUCCGAGACUACAAAUCAAAGAUCAUCAAAGGCCUUGACGAGGAUGACCUCCUGGAAGAAAAACUGAGUGGCAGCAGCAGUACAAACAAGAGACAGAAGAUCGCUCAGGACUUGAUCAACUCUAUCGACCAGACAGGGGAGCUUCUGGCAAUGUUUGAAGACAACGAACUUGACGAUGUUAAACAGGAGCGAAUGGAGAGAGCAGAAAGACAGACUCGAACUAUGGAUUCAGCUCAAUAUGCAGAAUUCUGUGAAAGCCGACAGCUAAGUUUCUCCAAAAAAGCUUCCAAAUUUCGAGAUUGGCUGGACUGUGGCAGCAUGGAGAUAAAGCCCAAUGUCAUAGCUAUGGAAAUCCUGGCAUAUUUAGCGUAUGAAACGGUAGCACAGUUAGUGGACCUGGCUCUUCUCGUGAGGCAGGAUAUGGUAUCCAAGGCAGGGGAUCCCUUCAGCCAUGCCAUCUCCGCAACCUUCAUUCAGUACCACAGCUCUGCUGAGGGGUCCUGUUUGAAGUCCUGCCCAGACUCUCCUGAGAACACACCGCCUCCUACACCAACAGCGCCCUCUUCUGGAUCCCAGCAUUCCGGGAGAGCCACAUCCGGCUCCCUGGGGAAUGGGAGUGCAGGACAAGACUCGACUAAAAGCAAGCAGAGGAAGAGGAAAAAGAGCACUGCGGCCUGUGGUGUUGAGGCUCACGGCGAUGCCAUCCAGCCCUGCCACAUCAGAGAAGCCAUCCGGCGCUACGGCCACAGGAUUGGCCCUCUUUCCCCGUUCACAGCCACCAAAGGCAGUGGGACCUCUUCAUUCAUGGAGCUCUCUGGUGUCAGUACAAGGCAAUUGCUGGAGGAUCCUCUUGGUUGAUGACAAAGUCACGUGAGUGAGUUGAUGGCCAUAGGAAAGUGGAUGUGGGUAGGACUGCCGAGAGCUCACGGACGCCCUGGAGAAGAGACCCGUUCAUUGGCUCUGCUUCCUCCUGUCUGACUGUUCACGUCCGCUUCAUCUCCUCUGAGUCCCAGUUCUCAUCCAAAAGAUAGUGCCUACCGAAGGAGUGGGAUGGCUUUCCUGGCCUGCUGAGGGGACCAUGGCUGUGCCUGCCGCGACAAGAGAGGGAACGGUACCCCGAGGUCAUUCUUCCCUGUCCUGGCUGAAAAUAAAAUAUGAAUUUACCUUC
Molecule: non-coding RNA, 1656 nt
Organism: Peromyscus maniculatus bairdii (prairie deer mouse)
Lineage: Eukaryota; Metazoa; Chordata; Mammalia; Rodentia; Cricetidae
Source: RefSeq, a predicted model, not a curated record